Molecule: long non-coding RNA, 231 nt
Filed under: Rattus norvegicus (Norway rat)
Lineage: Eukaryota; Metazoa; Chordata; Mammalia; Rodentia; Muridae
Description: long non-coding RNA NONRATT031566
Source: RNAcentral
CUUCCUUCCAUUUGUCUGUGUUUCAACGUGGUUGAGUGGUCGACCUUUGCCCAUCUCCAGUGGUCUACCGCUCCCUUCCCUCCACCUGACCCCACUCACAUAGUCUUGCUAUUUCUUGUUUUCAUCUAUGUCUGAAUCAAGGUCUCUGGUGACCACUAGCUGGUGUUCCCUUAUGAACCAUCAAUCAAAAUGGAAUGACAUGGUUAAAUCCUAGCUGCAAGAGAGUCAAGA